Molecule: long non-coding RNA, 402 nt
Organism: Priapulus caudatus
Lineage: Eukaryota; Metazoa; Priapulida; Priapulimorpha; Priapulimorphida; Priapulidae
Exons: 3
Source: RefSeq, a predicted model, not a curated record
CGUGUGUGCGUGUAGGAGUGCAGUGACUACCCGGGCUUUGUGACGAUAUUCCGAGUCGCUCAGACGCCCGGCAAGCACGACCGCCUCGACUACGAGAACUACCGACACGUCUGCCACAAGUGGCACUUCAAGAUCACCAAGGCACUCGUCAUCUGCCUUGAAUCGGAGGACUACACACAGAUCCGCAACGCGCUGAUCGUGCUGACAAAGAUCCUGCCUCACUACCCGCGCGUCACCAACCUGGGGCAGGCGCUCGAGCGACGCGUCGAGAAGAUACGCACCAAGGAGAAAGACAAGCGACCAGACCUUUACGCGCUCGCCACGAGUUACUAUGGACAACUGAAGCUGAAGAGCAACACGUUCACACCUGAGAACGAGUUCCAUUACAAGGAGAAGGUGAGU